GCUUCCGCGUAGCAGGUGGCUUGUCGGUCGUUGUUGGUUUUAGGUGUUUCUGUUGGGCUCCUCCUCCCUCUCCCUUUCAUUCUUAACAUCCUGAAAUCGUAGUGGUGCUCGUGACCUUGCAUGUCCGCCUUGUCUCGUUUCGGGUGCGUACCUACGCGGUGAAUAUAUUUUCUCUCCGCCACGCCUUCCUCGUCCCCGCACCCCUCCGCCUUUUUAUUUUUUUUUCCUGCGUUGUGGGUGAGCAGCAUCCCACACAGCGAAAGCACAGCACACAAAGAGAUCAGUACCUCUAAACGAAGAGACCGAAGAACCACCCUUGGCGUUACUGCCAAGGAACACUUGAAAGGAGCAGCCGUGUAACGUGAAACGGACACGACACGGAGUCAAAAAAGAGGAAGAAUACCCUCCCCCGCUCCUCCGCCCGAGAAAGAGAAGGUGUCAGGCAUUUUGUACCCCCCUGCCUGCGGCCCUUUCCGCCUGCCGUUGUCUCCCAGUUCACAUACCCCCCCCCCACACACACACCACCACCACAGUUGCCGCGUGGUCUAUACCGAACGUCAAGACCCUCUCCACUUCCCGACACACAAACGCGCAGGCAUAACGGGGAUAGGGAAAAGGCAGCGAGGGGAGGCCACGAAUCUACCAAUUUGCUUUCAUAUACGAGGAAGUUCGGCAAAGGUGUUCUCGUGCAGCAGUGACGACAGCAACGUCUUCGCAGAAAAAAAAAAGAAGCUGCAGACGUCCGCGCACACUGAGCCGCCAAGCAGACAAAAAAAAAGAACAGAGAGGUUUGAUCGGCGUUAGUCGUUGCGGCUCCCCACCGUUUUCCCAGCCCCCGUUGACGCUCACACACGGCAAAAAAAAAAAACAGCGGGAGCGGCGGCGCAGUGGAGAAAAACGAUUCAAAGCGCACGCCCACGCGCGUAGAAGAGGAGUGGGACCAGGCCACCGAGUUGGCGUACGCAAGUGCGCGCCAGCGGCGGAGGAACGACAAGAAAGAAGAGGCCGAUCUGGAGUCUUGAUAAACGUAGGGGACCGAAUAGCGUACAGCGCAGCGUGUGCAACACGGCAAUAAAGGAGGAAUCUCGUGCACACACACACAUAUAUAUAUAUAUAUAUAUGCAACGACGGUUCAAAAAAGGGGAUUCGAAAAGUUGUCCUGAGCAGCGAAAGGUCAAAGAGGCCUGCCUCUUUUUUUGCCUGUGCCUUUGUGUGUGUGUGUAGGGGGUCUGUGCGUUUCUAGGUUUUUACUUGUCGCUGGCUUCUUGCUUCUGCUGUCUCCCUCACUCGCCCUCCGUUUCCGCUGCUUUCUCUUUGUGCUUGUUUUCCUUAGCCCUUUGACGAUCAGCUCUCACUUCACAUCGGUUAGGUUUUUCCUUUUGCCUUUCCUUUCGUGGCCGAGACUCUCUUGUUAUUAUUACCCAUUUAAAUGGACUAGUGCGUGUCAUACUGAUUCUCUUCCUCCCUCUUCGAUACCAGCAUCUCGUGUUCCCCUCCUCCCCCUCUGUCUUCGACGGCUGCCUCUCUAUUUUUUUUUGUUUUUGUUCAGUACUACAAAUCGAAUUCCCCUGCUGCUCAACGGACUUUAUAUGGUCACUGUGGACUCUCCUUCUUUUUGUGUGCUUGUAUGUGCUUGUUGUUGUGGCUUCCCUUUUUCUACUCUUAAGUUUUUUUUUGUAUUGUAUGUCGAAGCGCAGCCGCGGGCUGAAGAACAGGGGAAGACUUUGUGGCGGUAUCGAGAAACGUGCCGCUUUCUAAUUGCACCCUUUCUCUCUCUCUCCCCUCAGGUCGUCGCGGGUGGUUGAACUCCUUACCUGCUGUACUGGUGUGGGCUCUCGUGCUGUGGCCUCUUAUCAGCUUUGCUGGUUAGUUCUAACCUGUGAAGUGGCCGCAGCCGGCCAAUUUGCCGCAAGAAGUUGUGUCUUCCUCAAUCGCCGAUCUUGCGAUCUUAUUGAUUUUUUUCGCUGGUUGUUUUUCUUUCUCCUGCGCGUUGUUUCCGGGUCAUCAUCUGUGAACUUUAUUUCCUCUGGCGCCCCUAGCCCCCACAAGCGAUUCCGUUUCUUGCGCUCUCUCUCUAACCUACGAUUUCUCUUUGCGUGUGUGCCUUUGUCUUUCCUUUUCUGGUGAGCUCCUCACUCGUGAAUCCGCACUUGCUUUCUGUUAUCUCUGCGCUCUUUGACUCUUACGAGCCUCGGUGUAUCAAGAGCGGUGGUCCAUUCAUCUCAUACUCUGCUAUGAGGAGGAGGGGGUGGUUACCGCACUAGAGGACAACGAACAAAGAAGUGGGAACAUCCCAGCAAGACCAACGAGAAUUUCGGCGUGUGUCGAGGUUUUGUUCGUUUUUCAUUUUUGUUGUGCGUGCGCUUUCGGCUUGGUAUUGUCGCUCAAAUACCACUCCCCUUUUUUGUUUCUUCUUUGCGAGUGUGUAUGUGUGCUCUCUCUUUGAGGCUCACUUCCCCUCUGCUUGGUUUUCUCCUCCACGCAGCAUCAUGAUGCAAUCGCCACCUCCUUACGUACCUUUUGUCGAGUACGUCCUCAAGGCAAUCGAGCAUCCGCCGUACAUGUACGUGGCGAAGCUUGCUGCGUGCUGUACGAUGCUCUUCCUUACACGUGAAAACCCCGAGCUGCUACAGGAGUUGUGCCACAAGUGGGCGAUUCGCUUUGCACAGGACCGAUUCCGUCUCAUUCGGCAUAUUCGAAAGCGUGCUUCCUACUGCAUGAAUUCCCUCGAUCUCGCCUUACACGUCGGGCGCGACGCGAAAGACUCUAGCGAGGACACUUCUGAUGACGGAUGUGCGGCGCAGUCAUCUGAUGAUCACUCUGACAAGCGUGAUGUGGCGGCCGGAAUGUCCUGCUGCGACCCGGACAAGUCGGUUGAGCACCUGCUGUCCAUUCUCAACACGCUCGUACCCAUGUACUUCUCGUGGAACUGGCACCGAGCCGACUACGUGAUUCAGAUCAACAAGGAGUACGAGGUGUACGUGCGGGAGUACGUGUUGCCUAUGUGCGCCGACCUUGCCCCUAAUGAAGGUGCCGAUGACGUGGUGCACACGCCUUGGCUGCUCCCCCCGCACACGUACCUCGAACCGACGGAGAGAUUGCUGUCGGUGGACACAUUUACCUCAACAGCGGCACCGCGCCCUUGCGUAGACUCGCCGCGUCGUCCGAGCUACAUCGCCAGCACCCUCGUGGGCGGGACAGCGCCCAACAAGCACGGCAUCGUCUCUGCCAGUGGAACGCCAACGGCUGGCAAUGCGAAAAUGGAUGGGCUCAAUUUUCCGAGUCUGCAGCAGCACUUCACCUCCACGUCGGUUAGCAAGGGAAAGCCGUCCGACGCCAUUGUGGCCACUCCCCUGCCAAAGCUCUCGCCCACAUUCGGCGAAACGUUAGGCAACGACGCAGCGUCCACCUCGUCCCCAAACAUGAUGCGGGUCAGUGCAGAUGCCUGCAACACGGCAACAAGGAGUGGCUUUACCCAUAUUAUGUCGCCCAACGUCAUGUCCGCCCGCGCCUUUAACGCCGCGGCCGUGUACGGGUUGCGCUUUUUGACGCUCAGCAACUACCGCAAAGCACUGCAGAGCAACACCAAGGGUCUUGUGAUCGUCUUCCAUGCCAAGUAUUCGGCCAAGAGCAACGAAGUGAUCGAUAUGUUCCAGAAGAUCACAGCGAAGCGGCUGCUUGAUCCGAUGCCGACCAUAGCCGUUGUCUAUGCCGUAGCAGAGCCAGAGUUGUCAAGCCUGUACAAGGUCAGCUGGUUCCCAACCAUCGUGUACAUUCCUCCCAUUCUGCACCGAAAACACUGCCACCAGCAUCCAAACCCCGGUGCGUACACUCGCACUGACGACGCAGCACCCUUGCCAACGUUGUCGGCACCAAAGGCCCUGGCCAAGGCCUCAGCGCACUCCGCACAGGGGCCAUUGGCGAAGUUUCGCUGCGGCCAUUCUCCCGUUGUUGAUGCAGGGUCCCCGGCCCUGCCUCACAACGAAGAGGAGGCUUCGCGGCGCACAAACGGUCGCAGCGGCACUGCAUCACAAGGGACGACUGCCAUUUCAGGCACUGACGACGUUGCGAGAUCGCCGCGAAACACUAGUAUGGGUCCGCGCCGCAGCACACCGACACGGAGCCAAGGUAAAGCGUACAAGAUCGUCAGCGACCUCGACGCCGCGUCAGGGAGACACACGAGCGCGUCGCCGAGCAGUCGGUCAGAUGCACCCUCACUGGUUGUGCAAUGGACUGACAAACGGACCACAGCUUCACCGCCGACGCCGACGGAGAUCCUCUUCAGUACCCCCGUGGGGGAAAGCGCUCGAAACGAAUUCGUGACCACACCACCGCAGUUCAGCAGCAGAAGCAGCACCGGAGCAAAUUCCAGCAUCCAAGGCGGCAGCGUGGAGGAUGGGGUGCAGCCGCUGGGAGAGGACAGCGGAGGGGCGGAGCGUGACUCUCUCGAGGGCAUCCUGGACAGCGGCGACUACGUCAUCUACCCCUUAGAUGGCGUGCAGACGGUUCCUGCGCUUGUAGAAUGGAUCAGCUCUCGCGGGGCAAGUGUCCCACGCCUGCGGAAGAUGAAGGAGUUCUUUACGUGCAUCAAAACAAUUCGUCAAGAGGAGAAGUUCAAGCGUUACCGCGAGCUACACUCGGCAGUGGUGACGCUUCGCCGCUUGCAAGGCAUCAAGGAAGACUUGAGUGUGACCGUCAGCGGCGGAAACCGUAGCACACACACACACACCUCGUCGACACCAUUUCAUCAGCAGCUGCCCGAUCAGCCUCUCUUCAUUUUUCUCGGCGGAGGUAUGGCCGCAGGCAAGACGACAGCCGUCGCGGCUCUCGCCAAGAGCAGCUGGUGGGAAAGCCACAAAGAGCAGAGUGUUGUCGUGAAUGCCGAUGAGUUCAAGCUGCCGCUAGAAUGCGAGAUGUCGUUAUCAGAGGCGCACACGCACAGCACCCGUGCCGCCGAGAACCUCCUUGUGAAGGCGAUCAACCAAGGCCGCAGCAUCGUACUCGACGGCACCAUGAUGUGGAAGCCGUUUGUGCAGCAGGUUGUCGCCAUGGUGCGCGAUGCCCACCUCACACUCUUCAAACAAGGUCCAGGCUACAACAAGAAGACGCAGAUAGAGCAGUACUUCGUGGCCGAGAAGGCUCGCCAACCCGCCUUGCCAAUGCCGUACAAAAUCAUGUUUCUUGGUAUCACCGUAGAGGUAGAGACUGCCGUUCCACGCGGAUUUCUGCGCAAGUUUCAAACCAACCGCGGUGUGCCCAUCUCAAUGCAGCUGCGCUCCUUCAAGCUCUUCGCGGAGAACUUUACAGAUUACGUUCGCAUGGUGGACGAGACAACCCUCUUCAACAACAAUAUCUUUGUGAAGCUUGAAAAGGGUGAGUUGCCCCCGGUGCUUGCUGAAUGCAGCAACACAACAAACGGCCAGUUGGUCGUGCACGAUGACGCAGCGUUUCAGCAGUUUUUGCGGCAGCAGCAGAUCAACGACGACGCAGAUAACGUGCUCGAAUUGUACCCUUCGACUCCGGUAGCUCACUGAAAGGCGCGCCCGAUUGGCGGCAUGAAGGCAGGGGAACCAGACGCUUUCUUUUUUUUUUCCUUUUUGACUGGACUGCUCACCUAUUCUGCGAACCGCUUUUCAAACUUUUUCCACGCUGGUCAAG
RNAcentral lists this unclassified non-coding RNA (5658 nucleotides) under Leishmania donovani. Its description in RNAcentral is "gene:LdHU3.34.3010(CDS-product:Zeta_toxin_putativ e)". The record is from RNAcentral. Lineage: Eukaryota; Euglenozoa; Kinetoplastea; Trypanosomatida; Trypanosomatidae.